This 1349-nucleotide ribosomal RNA is filed under the name Tripos muelleri. RNAcentral describes it as "SSU rRNA". It matches the Rfam family "Eukaryotic small subunit ribosomal RNA", at positions 141 to 1513 of the family's 1831-position model. Lineage: Eukaryota; Dinophyceae; Gonyaulacales; Ceratiaceae. The record is from RNAcentral.
GGAUAACUGUGGUAAUUCUAGAGCUAAUACAUGCACACACACCUGACUUUAAAGUAUGGUUGUGUUUAUUGAUGUCAAAACCAAUUCAAGCUCUGCUUGAUGUAUAGCAUGAUUGAUUAUUAAUGAAUGAAUUGCAUGGCGCAUGCUGGCAAUGUANUGUUUUAGUUUCUGACCUAUCAGCUUCCGACGGUCAGGUAUUGGCUUACCGUGGCAAUGACGGGUGACGGAGAAUUAUGGUUUGAUUCCAGACAGGGAGCCUGACAAAUGGCUACCACAUCUUAGGAAGGCAGCAGGCGCUAAUAUUAUACAAUCUUGGCAUAGGGAGGUAGUGACAAGAAAUAACAAUACAGGGCAUCCAUGUUUUGUAAUUGGAAUGGACAGAUGUUAACCUUCUCUGUGAGUAUCAAUUGGAGGGCAAGUCUGGUGCCAGCAGCCGCGGUAAUUCCAGCUCCAAUAGCGUAUAUUAAAGUUGUUGCGGUUAAAAAGCUCGUAGUUGGAUUUCUGCUGAAACAAACCGGUCCGCCCUCUGGGUGAGCAUCUGGUUUUGUUUUGGCAUAUGCUUAGACUUUGCAGCUGCACUUGACUGUGUGGUGCGAAGGCUGAGCCUUUUACUUUGAGGAAAUCAGAGUGUUUCAAGCAGGCCAUUGCCUUGAAUACACUAGCAUGGAAUAAUAUGAUAUGACUGUGGUUUUAUUUUGUUGGCUUUUAGAAUUAAAGUAAUGGUUAAUAGGGAUAGUUGGGGGCAUUCAUAUUUAACUGUCAGAGGUGAAAUUCUUGGAUUUGUUAAGGAUGAACGACUGCGAAAGCAUUUGCCAAGGAUGCUUUCAUUGAUCAAGAACGAAAGUUAGGGGAUCGAAGACGAUUAGAUACCGUCCUAGUCUUAACCAUAAACCAUGCCAACUAGAGAUUGGAGAUUGUUAUGUGCAUGACUCCUUCAGCACCUUAUGAUAAAUCAAAGUCUUUGGGUUCCGGGGGGAGUAUGGUCGCAAGGCUGAAACUUAAAGGAAUUGACGGAAGGGCACCACCAGGUGUGGAGCGUGCUGCGUUAUUGGGACUCAACACGGGGAAACUUACCAGGUCCAGACAUAGUAAGGAUUGACAGAUUGAUAGCUCUAUAUUGAUUCUAUGGGUGCUGGUGCAUGGCCGUUCUUAGUUGGUGGAGUGAUUUGUCUGGAUAAUUCCGUUAACGAACGAGACCUUAACCUGCUAGAUAGUUACACUUAACUUCGGUUAUGUGGGCAACUUCUUAGAGGGACUUUGUGUGUUUAACGCAAGGAAGUCUGAGGCAAUAACAGGUCUGUGAUGCCCUUAGAUGUUCUGGGCUGCACGCGCGCUACACUGAUGCGGUC